AUGGAUUUAGUAGACCUUUCAUUCAGUUCAGCGACUGAUGACACUAAUUCAAUUUGGUCUCUAAAUAACAACGAUAACAAAAAUGACAAAGAAAUUGAAGAAAAGGAUCGGAUUAUCGAAAAAUUAAUGGCUCACAUACAAGAAAUUGAAGUUCAGAUGAAAGACAUUAGA
This is a long non-coding RNA of Oppia nitens, 171 nucleotides long. RefSeq lists it as uncharacterized. The record is from RefSeq and is a predicted model, not a curated record. Lineage: Eukaryota; Metazoa; Arthropoda; Arachnida; Sarcoptiformes; Oppiidae. The transcript has 3 exons.